ACAUAUGUCCCAGAUAUCAUUUGUGGGAAUAUUAUUGCUCUCAUUUCCACUUUACUUUCUUGUGGCCACAAAACAAGUCACAUGUUUGACAUGGGGCCUUAGGAUGUGUGGAGGAUAAAGGUUUCUUACCAACUCACUGAGUUGAUAAAACUGCUUUUAUUUGAUGCUGCUUAGAAAGAAACUACUAGAAAGCCUAAAAUAUGAAUAAGUUUCUGGAGAGGAGGAGAAGCAGGAGACACUGUGAACCUGAUGUCUAGCUCAAGCUCUGCCCCAGAAGCUGUGUCCCCGUAGGCAAGAGGAAGAAAGAAUGCUCCAAAGUGGAAAGCUAUAUGAUCAACAUCACCUGACAGAAGAUAGCAGACAUUCUUUAAAUUGCUGGCUUAUCUGAAAACUUAUACUGAGUGUUGGAAAAAGAAGAAGAAGAAGAAGAAGAAGAAGAAGAAGAAGAAGAAGAAGAAGAAGAAGAAGAAGAAGAAGAAGAAAUAAUGACUUGCUUCUCCUGAGCUUGGACAUGCUUAAUUGCAUGAAAAAUCACAUCAACAGCCGAGCAAGAUGUCUCAGUGACUGUUUGCCACCAAGCCGUCAGGAACUACAACAGUAGUUCAUUCCUGAGAGCCAUGUGGUAGAAGGAGAGAUGUGACUCUCACAAGUCAUCCCAGGAGACACAGACACACACACACACACACACACACACACACAAAUAUAUGUAAUUAAAAAAGAAAAUUAUAUACUUAAACAAUAUGAAUGACCAUUCUACCUCAGUAGUCCACAACUGUAACAGGGACUGUGAGUGCAUGGAUUUAGGGAAAGGGACAGUAGACGGCUAGACUUUAGACUUUCAUGUUCAAUUUUAUAUCCAGGUGCUGCUUGUCGGUGCCAAAUGUGGAUCUUUAUUUUUCAGUGUAAAGUAAAAUUCAAAACACAGUUUCAAAAACAGCCACUGAUUGAAUACUCUUCUGCUAAUAGCAUUUUCAUACACUGAAAGAUAAAACUCUGGCCCUGGGCAAAUGUUAAGAACAGUCUUGUGCAGUCUGUUCAACAAACUGAGUGUGUUCUGAGUGCUUCUGACAUGACACAAGGAAUUAGUUGCCUCGCAUUCAAACGCGGUUCGCAGGCACACUUUUAAAAAUAUUACCCAACCCCGGUUAAGUUCAAACAACCGCUGGCAAUGCAUGAUUUAUCCAGAGGGUACUACAGAAACUCAGGUGAUCAGCUUGAAGUUCCCAGUCAAGGGAGAAUCGGACUUCAUAGAAACAGCAGGGAAAUCUUGGCUGCCCCCUUGCAGUGUUGACCUUCAGAAGGCUAGCAGGCUCGAUGACAUUGCCAGGCUCAGUGCUCUGAAACCACACUCUCUUCUCCUCUACGACAGCUGAGAGAUCGGUUUCAGUCCCGGAGCAUUAAGUUAACUGUAAUCUCCUUCACCUGCUGAUGUUGCAACGAGGCUUCAAACGCUACUCUGACCUCCAGGAAGUAGAAUUGCCGGAGAAAUGAAGCUUUCCACUUCCUACUUAAAAGAAGAUUGCUUCAAAACCUCCUUAAUCUUCUCUUCCAGAGCACGUGUGGCAUUACUGAAGCAGAGCAAGAAGAGCCCAUCCUCCAGUGAAACCACCGCAGGCUAUCAUACUCAUUUUUAUGUUCUAGAGUGGGGGAUGGGGAGCGGACUGGGGAAUCGGCAAGGCCUAACUGCUCCUAACUUCUAGCAGUGGAAUAUCUGAGAUGAAACAAUUGGAAAGAAGCAGCCUGUCUCCUGGACAGCAGAGAGUGUGGAGAAUACGACUGUCACUGUCAGGAAUGAGAAGCUUUUCCUGCUACCUUUCUUUGCUGCGAGUCCCAGACAACGCACAGAUAUCCUCUCAGUUCGUAAAGAGAUACGUGAGAUCCUGAGCUCACUGAAAAACGCCUUUGACCUCUAGACCUGCGCUUCUAAACCCUAAGCGACUUGGCUAUGUUUCUCAAUGUCUGGAGACCUUUGAGUUAUCACAGCUCCAGAGUGAGUUGGACAGUGAAGAAGAGUGCUGCUGGGUCGGGUCGCUAAAUGGUCAGCGCGGCUAUACGUUUCCGUGCCCAGCGUAGCUCUCCACAACAAAGAACUCUCUAGCAUGAAAUGUUAACCAUGAAGAGACUGAGAAAUCCUUAUAUAGAUUCUGCUUCACUUCAAAGGGAAGUCAGGCAGUUUACGAGCCUCUCUGUAUGCCCUAAGGAUACUGUGAGCUCUGAGGAUGAAGGAUCCUGGAUGCCAUUCUCAGACAUGUUUACACUAUUCCAUAUUUGUGAAGCUUAAGGAAAGAAAAUCAGCCAUGCUCAUAAUGCAAACAUCCCAGAAGAGACUAACGAUGACCAGUGAGAACCAAAUAGCAAGAAGAGAUGAAUAC
Long non-coding RNA from Mus musculus (house mouse), 2372 nucleotides. RefSeq annotates it as predicted gene, 41835. NCBI's taxonomy places the organism in Eukaryota, Metazoa, Chordata, Mammalia, Rodentia, Muridae. The record is from RefSeq and is a predicted model, not a curated record. The transcript is spliced from 5 exons.